UAGAUGCGAGAGUAGAGCAUAUCAAUAAGCGGAGGAAAGGAAACUAACAAGGAUUCCCCUAGUAACGGCGAGUGAAGCGGGAAGAGCUCAAAUUUGAAAUCUUCAAGGUUUGACCUUGACGAAUUGUAGUUUAAAGAAGUGUUUUCGGUUAGAGGAGUAGUAAAAGUUCUUUGGAAUAGGACAUCAUAGAGGGUGAGAAUCCCGUAUUUGACUAUUCUUUCUAGCUUUGUGAUACACUUUCAAAGAGUCGGAUUGUUUGGGAAUGCAGUCCAAAAUGGGUGGUAAAUUUCAUCUAAAGCUAAAUAUUGGCGAGAGACCGAUAGCGAACAAGUACCGUGAGGGAAAGAUGAAAAGAACUUUGAAAAGAGAGUUAAACGGUACGUGAAAUUGUCAAAAGGGAAGCGUUGACACCAGUGUUGUUUUCUCGAAAAUCAAUUAAAAAUGAUGGGAUUUUGUGUUGUAUUGACUUUAUCAGCUUUCUGCACUUUUUUCUUAUCUUUUUUAAUGCACUUUUCGUUUAACAAGUCAACAUCAAUUUCUUUUGUUGUAAAAGAGUCAUUGGAAGGUGGCUUUUUCUUCGGAAAAAGUGUUUAUAGCCUUUGACUUCUGCAGUCGGAGAGAUUGAGGUCUGCAGCGUAGAUCCUUCGGGGUUAGAUACAUUUGUGCUAAGCUAUAGUUCUUUAUAGACAACUUGUUGACUAUAAUCAAUCCUGUAACUUACUCGCUUAUGCUAUUUUACCUACGCUUAGGAUGUUGACGCGCGUGUGUGCGU
Molecule: ribosomal RNA, 772 nt
Filed under: uncultured Neocallimastigales
Lineage: Eukaryota; Fungi; Neocallimastigomycota; Neocallimastigomycetes; Neocallimastigales
Description: partial large subunit ribosomal RNA
Rfam family: Eukaryotic large subunit ribosomal RNA
Source: RNAcentral